AUUAGAAAAAAACAGUUUAUGUCAUCUAGUUUUCCUUUAAGUCAAAGCCAUUUUUUUCAGAUGGAACUUUGGACGAUCUUACAUACAAGUCACUUCUUGUGUCACUUAAAAUUAACAAAAGAGAUAACAAGAUCAUUUCUGCCUUUCUUUAAAGCAGUGUUUUACUUCUGUAGUCAUUUGGAUAAAUGUAUGCAAUUUAAUUAUUCUGGCAUUUAGUCAGAUUUUUUUCUUGUCUUAGUAAGCUGUGAUAUAUUUCGUAACCUGCUUGGCUCCGUGAAUAUGAAGUAUAAUCGAUUGUCGGUUUUUCAUUUCAUACCAUGAAAUUUUUAGAAGAUUUAACAUUUUUUUAAGAUUGGUUUAGACGUUUUCAAAUUCCUUUCCUUUUCAACGUCCUUGUCUUUUAAUACAAUGAUUAUUCUUUUUUACGCAUUGCUUCUGCACUCAUCAGUCCUGUGCGCAAAGAGUCGCUGUCCACCAAGAAAACGCACAUUCAAAUAUCCUAUCCCACUUCCAUUGUCGCCAUUACGGUUUCCGAUUCUGACGACAGCAUUGCAGUUUUUCUUUCAAGCGGAGCUGUCCGAUCUUUUACACAAUUGUCUGUUUGGGUUUUGCAUUUAUAUCUCUUCAUGGUCGAUUUCUUUAUUUGAACAUAUUUUGGACCCUUCAUGUGACUGCAUUUGCAAGGUACUCAAAACAAUGGAGCAAAAAGAUCUGCUUUGGAUAAGGUAUGUCGCGGCCUUCAUAUCUUUUUCGGCUUUCUUUCAGACCGUAUUUGCUGUUACGCACUACACUAUUCCUGAGGAAAUGGACGAAGGAUCAGUGGUUGCAAAUUUGGUGUCUGAUCUGGGGCUGGAUUUGAAAAGUCUCAGUAAACGUAAAAUGCGUUUAGAUGUCGUUGCCAACAAGAAAUAUCUCGAAAUUAACAAAGACACAGGGGAACUGUACAUUUUGGAAAAACUCGAUAGAGAGAAUCUAUGCACAUCAAAAUCAGCCACAACAUGUGUACUUAAAGUGGACGCAACUUUGGAGAAUCCGAUUCGAAUGUUUAAUAUUGAACUAGAAAUAAUAGAUAUAAAUGAUAAUGCACCAAGUUUCCGACGGGAUACGAUGCACUUAGACAUAUCAGAGGCAACUGCUGUAGGGGAGAGGUUUUCUCUCACUAACGCUGUAGACCCCGACACAGGUUCAAACUCCGUGAAGACGUACUAUUUAAGUGAAAGCGACCAUUUUUCUAUUGAGAUCCAGACAGGACGAGAUGGAUCUAAAUUUGCUGAUUUGAUACUUAAAAAGGCUUUAGACAGAGAACAACAAGAUUCACAUAAUUUGAUACUCACUGCUGUGGAUGGAGGAGUCCCCGCGCGCUCCGGCACAGCUAGCAUUAUUGUGCGCGUACUGGACACGAAUGACAACGCCCCUCAAUUCGAUAAAGACAGUUAUACUAUAAAUUUAACUGAAAAUUCGCCGAUUGGAAGCCUCGUUGUAAAAUUAAAUGCAUCAGAUAAAGACGAGGGCUCAAAUGCAGAUAUAAUUUACUCUUAUAGUCUUUACACAUCAGAGAAAACACAGCAGACAUUCAGUCUGAAUCCUGACAAUGGAGAAAUCAGAGUGAAAGAAAUGAUAAAUUACGAGGAUUUUAGGAUAUACGACAUGGAAAUUAUAGCAACAGAUAAAGGAGUCAAUAGUCUCUCUGGAAAGUGUAAAGUAAAGAUUUUAGUCACAGAUAUGAAUGACAAUCAUCCUGAAAUAUCUAUAAAAUCAUUGUCUAGUCCAGUGAAAGAGGAUAUACCUGUAAAUACAGUGAUUGCUGUUGUAAGUGUGAGUGAUAAGGACUCAGGAGAAAAUGGACAGGUAGAUAUCCAUAUUUCUGAUCAUUUACCCUUUGCUCUAAAAGAAUCAUCUGAUAAUUAUUAUGAGUUAAUAGUUUCAGAACCGUUAGACCGAGAAAAAAGCGCAGAAUAUGACAUCACUAUUACUGUGACUGACAGGGGCAACCCACCGUUAUCUGAUAAUGAAACUAUAACUUUAGAGCUACUGGAUGUUAACGACAAUGUUCCUCAGUUCCCUCAGUCGUUCUACAAGAUACCUGUUACGGAGAAUAACCCACCAGGAGCUUUACUGAGCUCUUUAACUGCCAUAGACCCAGAUCUCCAUGAAAAUCAAUAUCUAGUUUACUUUAUAAUAGAAAAGGAAAUUGUCAACACCUCCAUGUCCAUGCUGUUCUCCAUUAAUCCAGAGAACGGUAAUCUUUACGCGCUAAAGACGUUUGAUUAUGAGAUAGAGAAGGAGUUUCUUUUCCACAUCGAGGCCCGAGACUCUGGUGUCCCUCCGCUCAGCAGUAACGUGACCGUUCACAUUAUUAUCAUGGAUCAGAACGACAACACGCCUGUUAUAGUGUCUCCAUGGCGCGCGCACGGCUCUGUGGUUGAGGAAAAGAUCCCGAGGUCCACCGAUAAAGGAACUCUGAUAUCCAAAGUCAUUGCGAUAGACUCUGAUUCAGUGCACAACUCACGAAUCACGUACCAGUUUCUCCAGAACACUGACGCUACGUUAUUCAGCUUGGAUCAGUACAACGGAGAGAUUCGUACCAUGAGAAUGUUCAGCUACAGAGACUCCCGUCACCAGCGGCUGGUGGUGAUCGCCAAGGACAACGGAGAGCCCGCGCUCUCUGCUACAGUUACAAUCAAACUGUCGACGGUAGAGAUUGCCCUUAAAACCUAUGCUGACAUGACUGAAGUGCCUUUGGAAUAUGACAUCUUCUCAGAUUUAAACCUGUAUCUGGUGAUCGGACUGGGCUCUGUAUCAUUUCUGUUACUUAUCACCAUACUUGUCACCAUCGUUCUUAAGUGUCAGAAACCAAAGCCAAGUAAAGCGGCUCCUUCUUGCAGGAACAGUGUUAUCAGUGAGAGAAACUCGACCAUCGCAGAUUCUACUUUGGUCUCCAACGAUGCCUACUGGUACAGUUUAUUUCUAGCGGAGACGAGGAAAGGAAAGCUGGUGGUUAGACAGCCUGUGCCAAAGGGCGCGAGAUACAUCGUUUCCAGUAUACCGAGGAGCACCGGAAUGACUGAGACCAGUGACUCUGCUGCAUCUACUCUACAGUACUCAAAAUGAACGAGGUCCCUUCUCACGCUGGAGGUAUGCAGACUUGACUAUUCUCUCGAUUUCUGGAGCGCCUGACCCAAGCGCCCUUUGACCUUUACUGAAAUAUACGCUUCUACUACCACCAGUAGCAGUUCCACCUGAGAACCCGCCAACAUCUUAUCGACCUGCCUACCUGCUCCAUCCUACAGAGAUGAAACGGACCCAAGAUGACGCCUGCAUUUUCACAUCAAUGUUUGGAAGAAUUGUCUUCACCUUGAAUUCUCUUCCUCAUUAAUCUCACGGCCAGAAGAAUGACAUAAAGAUAAGAGAUCAUCUUUACCUGCCCGGUCGAGAUUGGAUUUGGACUGGGCCUGUAAGCAAGCACACAUUCACACACAAAAAUGGUUAAACACAGAAUAUACCAUGGAAAAUUAUAAUUACUAUAAAUAAACCCAUACCCAAAAUGUAAACUUUUUGCAUAAUACAUGCUUGUGUGUGCAUGAUCUUGAAAUGACACUAAAAGAGACGUUAAACAUUGAACUGGAGUUGAGUUAAAAGGACAUUAAGUGAAAUGAACAAGCACAGAAUGGACAAUUUGGGCUUUGAAAGCUUUUUUCCUAUACCAGAUGUUUAAAGCAUUUCUUACGUGUGUUUUCUUUGAUUUCAUGAAGACUUUAAAACAACGCAAGUAUUAUCCAGUAUUUAUAUGUAUAUACAUAUAGUAGAUCACAGCAGUCAGUCUCUUGUAUAAACUCUGCUCUUGUCUGUAGUGUUGUAUUAUGUCUGUGUCAGUAUUUCUUUAAUUUUGUAAAUAAUCAGGUUUUAAUAUAAGCCCGGAUCUAGCAUAGAACGAGAAUAGAGUUGGAAAGGAUUUGUUAAUAUGAUUUACAUUGAUUAUCACAUAAUGGCCUGGUUUCACAGACAAGGUUUAGCUAAAGCCAGGACUAGGCCUUAGUUAAAUUAAGAUGUUUAAGCAUUUUAUAAACCUGCCUAAGAAAAGAUGUUACUGGUGUGAAUCUUAAAACAAAUCAAUGUCAGUAGCAUAUUUUAAGAUCUGUCAGUGAUAGUUAUUUUCUGCUGAGACACCUCCAACAUGUGUCUUAGUCUAGGACUAGCCUUAAGCCUUGUCUGUGAAUCUGGGGCAAGGGUUUAGUAGAGGCUGUAAAAAAGUAAUAUCAUAGUGAAUGUAAAAUGAUGAGUGACUAUUUUCCCUAAACUAAUCCUUUGAGAUAAAUAAGUAUUUUUUUUAUUAAUCAGUUCCUCAUUUUUGACUUACAGAAAACAACACAACUCAGUGCUGUUUCAAUAAUCGAGACAAACAGAUAGGUCAGCCAAGGCCAAAAAAACUCAGUGUAAGAAAUUUUUCAGCCUCCACUAAAACUGAUAAAGCCAAAAACAAUAUUUUUUAGGAUGUGUUUGCCAGUUCUGUUUUUUAAGUGAUUUGUUUCUCUAAGGGGCAGUUUCCUGGACAGGGUUUAGAUGAAUCCAGAACAAGGCCUUAUUAGGACAUUUAAGAAGUUUCUACAAACAAACCUUACAAAAAACAAUACUGAUGCAUCUUGGGACUAUAUAUAUAUAUAUAUGAAAUAGUCACGUAUUUGCGUGAUAUUGGGUUGCUAUAUAUAUAUAUAGUCUUGGACUGAGAUAAGACCUGUCUGGGAAACAAGCCCAUUAUCUUGGUUGAGUACAGUAUCUCUUUAAGAAAAAAGCCUGCAGUUAUUUUUAACUGGAAUCCCAAUCGAGGAAUCCAUGUGAGAGGUUUUACUUGAUUUAAUUCUUAUGUGUGUAAUGUAGUCACUCUCUGAUGGUGAAUGAUUUUGCUUUAUACCAUAAGAAUAGUUGCAAGAGCUUUUAUUUUAAAUACUUUUUAUCUGAUAUUAUGGAUGUGGUAGUUUUAAUGCUUUACCAAAAUGACAGUAAAUUAAAAAAGCAAAAGUAAAUUGCAUUCUGCAUUGAAACAUUUUCUGUGGCCUGGUGUUAACAGUGUUACUGAUUUUAAGUCAAACUGCUGCUUUGAAUAAAUAAUAUUUUUAUUUGCUGGCUACUACAGUGGUGCAAUAUGUAGAUGUUAAUGUUUUAUUUCAGUGAACAAUAUUAUGAUGUUUUUUACUGCCUUUUUAAAAUGUCACUUACGGAAAUUCAUAAUAAUCACGGCUUUCUGAUGGUUUGACUUUUUUUCCCAGGGCAGCAACUAUCAGUAGGUCAUAAGGUGUCAGUGAUGAUGUAGGCUAAAGUUCUGACUUUAACUUAGCUAUUCACUUUUAACUUUGAUUUUCUGUUUAAAGAAAGUAAAUGCUGCAACCUUUCAAUAUUAAAGCAGCAGUGUUGUAAAAUGACUCUUACAAUACAAAUGUGGGAGAGGGGAGAGCCAACUGCUCAAUGUCAGAAGUAGGUCACUGUCACUGCUAGAAUAAUUUACCCAUAAGCCUCAUUUUGUGAUGGGCUGUAUAUAGUGGUUGUUCAUAAAGCAUGACAUGUCAUUGCUGUAGACUUGUCAUUGCUCUCUGUCCAGUGAACCUUUAUCCAGUUUUUAUUGACUAUGACCUGCAAAUGUGUUUUAUGAUUCUCUGUUGCUACUUUUGUUCUUAAGCAGCUAUCUUACACAUUUGACCUGCUUGGGCAAAACUCACCUUUGAUUACGAUUUUGAUAUUUGUACCGCAUUUUUGAUGGAUUAAAACCUCAAGUGUGUCAUUUAUUCAUGUGGUAAGAUGUUUCAUUUGUAACAUGUUCAGCUUUAAGUGACUUAUCAACCUGUAACAACAACCAAUCUGUGGAUUGUGCAAAUAUGCAUUGAAGUAAACGUUUAUAAACAAGUUGUUUAUAUAGUACAUUCUUUGUUUAAAAUAAGAAGAUAAUGAUUGUAUAUUAAUCAUCAUGAUAGGACCUGUAAUUAUCAAUGAUACUACAUUGCAUGAUUUUCAGCUGUGUCUGUAAGAGUUUGGGUGGGUGAGGGGUAACCAUGAGGUCAUCACUGCAUAUGAUGUGGUGCAGUAAACAUAAUCAGAAUGCUAAGUUAAUUUCCUGUUUUUUGUUAAAACUUAAACCCUAUUCAUACACUUAAAUAAUGAAUUUGUUCAGGUCUUCUGUAAAUUUAGAAAAAAAUAAAGCAUUGAAUACUGUC
Non-coding RNA from Misgurnus anguillicaudatus (oriental weatherfish), 6203 nucleotides. The record is from RefSeq and is a predicted model, not a curated record. NCBI's taxonomy places the organism in Eukaryota, Metazoa, Chordata, Actinopteri, Cypriniformes, Cobitidae.